This 1331-nucleotide long non-coding RNA is filed under the name Mytilus galloprovincialis (Mediterranean mussel). Lineage: Eukaryota; Metazoa; Mollusca; Bivalvia; Mytilida; Mytilidae. The record is from RNAcentral.
GCUUUGUCUUUAAAAAGAUAUAUUUGAAACAUGAACACAUAUGUACAUGUUUCAUGCUUACAUGUAUUAGAGAGUUAUCUAACCUGUUUAAAAGCUGAUAACUACUUAGUACUAUCAGAAUUUUAGUCUAUUUGUUUCUCUUUUUGUCCAUGAUUUAUCUUAUACUGGAGAGAGUUUGAAAAUUAAAUCUAUAAAGUUGGAUAAAAUAUUCAUAAUGCUUGCGUUGGUACAAAGCCAUUUUAAAAAUAAGAAGAUGAGGUAUGAUUGCCAAUAUGAAAACUCUCCCCAAUACAUGUACUUCACAUGACAUAUAAAGGAACUACUUUAAGUCACCAUACAACCUUACACAAUAAAACAAUCCCAUACUACAUAAUCAGCUAUAAAAGGCCAUGCAAUGACAAAUUUUAAACAAUUCUAAGGAGAAGACUGUAUACAACUACUGAAUUAUUGGUUAUACAGCAUUAAAAUACAACUACUGAAUUUAAUACUGGUUCCUGACUUGGGACAGGCACAUACAGAAUGUGGCAGGGAUAAACAAGAUUGAACUUUAUUAAAAAUUUACCCACUAUCAAACUAAAAAUGCCUAUUAUUAAGUGAACUCAGAUUACUCUGCUGUUUACAUAUUUGUUAAACUAUAAUUUGCUUCUUGUAGAAAUUAGCCUGUGAGAUCAAGAUGCAGAUAUCCACCAGAAACCAAAUGCCACACCAAAGCAGACAUUUUCAAAUGUUGAGGGACCUAUGAAUACAUCUACAUCCUUCAUUGAAAUGGACUUGGAAACAACUGAUUGAGUAUGUUAGCUUACAUUUAAUCAAUUAUGUUUGAACAGCGCUAUAUUUGAAAGUCAAUGACUUUUAUUAAAAAAAAGAAAAAAGAAAUCUAGAACUUUACAAACUUUUUUUUUAAUACCCCUAUUUAUAUACAAAAGAAGAUGUCAUAUGAUUGCCAAAGAGACAACUCUCCACAAGAAACCAAUUGACACAGAAAUUAACAGCUACAGGUCAUUGUAAGGCUUUCAACAAUGAGCAAAGCCCAUACCGCAUAUAUAUUUAGCUAUAAAAGGCACUGAAAUGACAAAUGAAAAAUUAUGCAUGGUGGGGGUGAAAUAAAAAGUGUCUUCUGACCCCUCUCCCCCUACAUUUAUUUUUGGAACAUCCCUCAGUGUUGUAACACAUAAACACAUUUGGUAGUCAGAUUGCUUUCAACCAUAUACUAUAUAGUGAUAUUUUCUUCUUCAGAAUGCUAAAUUUAAAAGUUUUUAUUAAUUUGUGAUGAAUUUUCUUUUUUACUUCCAGUUAUCUCUCAUAUCAAACAGAUAUCAUAUGAAACUGGC